This 468-nucleotide ribosomal RNA is filed under the name uncultured bacterium. RNAcentral describes it as "partial 16S ribosomal RNA". It matches the Rfam family "Bacterial small subunit ribosomal RNA", at positions 28 to 507 of the family's 1533-position model. The record is from RNAcentral.
GACGAACGCUGGCGGCGUGCUUAACACAUGCAAGUCGAACGGAAAGGCCCUGCUUUUGUGGGGUGCUCGAGUGGCGAACGGGUGAGUAACACGUGAGUAACCUGCCCUUGACUUUGGGAUAACUUCAGGAAACUGGGGCUAAUACCGGAUAGGAGCUCCUGCUGCAUGGUGGGGGUUGGAAAGUUUCGGCGGUUGGGGAUGGACUCGCGGCUUAUCAGCUUGUUGGUGGGGUAGUGGCUUACCAAGGCUUUGACGGGUAGCCGGCCUGAGAGGGUGACCGGCCACAUUGGGACUGAGAUACGGCCCAGACUCCUACGGGAGGCAGCAGUGGAGAAUAUUGCACAAUGGGCGGAAGCCUGAUGCAGCAACGCCGUGUGCGGGAUGACGGCCUUCGGGUUGUAAACCGCUUUCGCCUGUGACGAAGCGUGAGUGACGGUAAUGGGUAAAGAAGCACCGGCUAACUACGUG